This 1531-nucleotide ribosomal RNA is filed under the name metagenome. RNAcentral's name for it is "bacterial SSU rRNA". It matches the Rfam family "Bacterial small subunit ribosomal RNA". The record is from RNAcentral.
AGAGUUUGAUCCUGGCUCAGAACGAACGCUGACGGCGUGGCUAAGACAUGCAAGUCGUACGGAUUUUCCUUAUGAGUAAUCAUACGGAAAGUCAGUGGCGCAAGGGUGAGUAAUGCAUAGAUAACGUACCCCGAGCUCCGGAAUAACUGCGGUCUUCGGACCUUUAGCGAAAGUGCAGGUAAUACCGGAUGAUGUCCGGUGGUCGAAUGGCCGCCGGACCAACGGGCCUUCGGGUACCGGCUCAGGAGCGGUCUGUGUCGUAUCAGCUUGUUGGUGAGGUAAUGGCUUACCAAGGCAACGACGCGUAGCGGGGCUGAGAGGUUGACCCGCCACAUCGGGACUGAGACACUGCCCGGACCUCCACGGAGGGCUGCAGUAACGAAUCUUGGGCAAUGGGCGCAAGCCUGACCCAGCGACGCCGUGUGUAGGAUUAAGCCCCUCGGGGUGUAAACUACUGUCAGGGUGAAGAAAGGCAAGGGCUGUAAGGCCUGAGCUUGAUCGAUCCCAGAGGAAGCACCGGCUAACUUCGUGCCAGCAGCCGCGGUAAUACGAAGGGUGCAAGCGUUGUUCGGAAUUACUGGGCUUAAAGCGCAUGUAGGCGGGAGCGUAAGUGCCUUGUGAAAUCCCUCGGCUCAACCGAGGCCUGGCUUGGCAUACUGCGCUCCUUGAGGCAGGUAGGGGUGCGUGGAACUCUAGGUGGAGCGGUGAAAUGCGUAGAUAUCUAGAGGAACGCCAGCGGUGAAAACGGCGCACUGGGCCUGUCCUGACGCUGAGGUGCGAAAGCGUGGGUAGCGAACGGGAUUAGAUACCCCGGUAGUCCACGCCGUAAACGAUGUCUACUAGAUCGCGGUGACUCUGACGUUGGCGCGGUCGAAGCAAAAGUGGUAAGUAGACCGCCUGGGGAGUACGGUCGCAAGGCUAAAACUCAAAGGAAUUGACGGGGGCUCACACAAGCGGUGGAGCAUGUGGCUUAAUUCGAAUCAACGCGAAGAACCUUAUCCUGGGUUUGACAUGCUUGGAUGCCCGCUAUGAAAGUAGUUGGGCUGCCUCGGGUGAAACUUGCACAGGUGCUGCAUGGCUGUCGUCAGCUCGUGUCGUGAGAUGUCGGGUUAAGUCCCUUAACGAGCGAAACCCCUAUCGUUAGUUGCCAGCGGGUCAUGCCGGGAACUCUAGCGAGACUGCCGGUGUUAAACCGGAGGAAGGCGGGGAUGACGUCAAGUCCUCAUGGCCUUUAUGCCCAGGGCUGCACACGUGCUACAAUGGCGACUACAAAGCGACGCAAGACCGCGAGGUGGAGCAAAUCGCAGAAAAGUCGUCCCAGUCCGGAUUGCAGGCUGCAACUCGCCUGCAUGAAGUUGGAAUCGCUAGUAAUCGCAGAUCAGCUAUGCUGCGGUGAAUGUGUUCCUGAGCCUUGUACACACCGCCCGUCAAGUCAUGGGAGCCGGGAGUACCUGAAGUCGGGUAGCUAACCCGUAAGGGAGGCGCCUGCCGAUGGUAAGUUCGGUGACUGGGGCUAAGUCGGAACAAGGUA